GCGGAUUAGCGGAUUUGCGCGGUCUGCCAUGAUAGGUUGGGCAUUUGUGCGUGCGCUCUCCAGGCAGAAAGGAGGCCCAGUUUGUGGUUAGAAGUAAACCUGCGGCGAAUGGUACACCAAUUGAGGUGUGACCUGUAUAUCCUGUCGGACAUGUACAGACAUAGAAGCCAGGGUGGUUUUCACACUUUCCUCCAUGUUGACAUGGGUUGGAGUUACACUCAUCAAUCUCUGAAUUAGAACCAGAAUUACAAGCAUUGAAUGAAAAUUGGGGUGAUGACAAUCAAGUAACUCCCACAUGAUCUAAACCUGGAGGUGUGAGAUAUCUAUCUUGUUGGAGGUGGAUUCUGAUGGC
This is a long non-coding RNA of Corticium candelabrum, 352 nucleotides long. RefSeq lists it as uncharacterized. Lineage: Eukaryota; Metazoa; Porifera; Homoscleromorpha; Homosclerophorida; Plakinidae. The transcript has 3 exons. The record is from RefSeq and is a predicted model, not a curated record.